Long non-coding RNA from Rosa rugosa (rugosa rose), 1199 nucleotides. RefSeq lists it as uncharacterized. NCBI's taxonomy places the organism in Eukaryota, Viridiplantae, Streptophyta, Magnoliopsida, Rosales, Rosaceae. The transcript is spliced from 5 exons. The record is from RefSeq and is a predicted model, not a curated record.
CAAUUCAAAAAAGUCGAGAGAAGCCCAGAGCUCUCGACCCGUUUACACGACCUGACGAACUGCGUAGUGAUCGACCGGAACCUCUCCAUUCGGCGACGAUAGGGCGGCGCACCGGUACCGUUCGGUUCGUCUUGACGACGCCGACGUGCCUCUUGUCACGGAUCGUCCAUGCAAGGAGCGAGGAGAGAAAAUCGAGGCUCGAAAGUUUCCAACUUUCUGGCGGUUCCGCAGCAUUUUCCGGCGAUCGUUUGUCGUGCAUGAGGUAUGAAGUGUGACCUGCUCUUCGAGCUCUACAUGUCCGUAUAAUUAGUUUUCGAUUUCGGUUGGGUAUUGACGGAUUGAUGAUUUGUGUUUUUCGGUAUCAUCGGACUUCGUCGGAGUUCACUGUUCACGGCUGCUUUCUUGUGUUUUUGGGUUCAUUCCCGCCAAAAAUUCUCGUCCUAGAACUGGAAUUGGAGCUCGGUUAUGUUCAAUUCAUGGAACGGUUUGGUUGGAGAGCUCGCUGGCGUUCGCUGCUGGGAAUUCCAGUAGAUAACAAGGUGAGCUAUUUCUCCAUGGAGAAUUGAAAUCAGUUUUGUGUUUAUCUUCAAGUCUUCUGCCUGAAAUUAUUGGAAUGGAAGUUUGUUACCCGGCUUGUUAUGUGCCGGGUAAAAUUGUGGAGGAGUGAGCAAAGAAAGGGUUUUUCCCAGCUACUGUGUUCUUCGUCAAAGGAGUGAACCCCAUCUGUUUUAGUCUUGUUUGGAGUCGAGUUCAUGAGUGGAAGGCCGCAAGAAGGGACUUUGUGGAGCUGGACCAAACUUGGGUGUGGAACUCUAGAAUGAGAGUGGUUACUAUGAUUUUCACCAGAGGGGCUCCAGUUACCCAAAAUGGGAAAGGUGGUGAUGUUGGCCUAGAAAAGCGAAUGGAGUCAAAGUUGCGAUAUUGCAGUUUGUGGAUGCAGGUACUGUGUACGAAGACGGGACAGUUGGACAAUGCUAAAUGUGGCUUAAUUACCCUGUACUUCAAUUGUGUCAUCGACGGAGUUAGAUCUGCGUGACAGGUCUAUUCUGGUAACUUCCUUAUUCGCAAAUGACUCUUAUCAGAUGAAAGCCCCUCUUAUCAAUAAUGAAGUUUAGCAGGCUUCAGACUGGUGGCCAUGUAAGUCUAGCCGUAAGUUCAGACUGGUGGGCCUUUUACCACAAGCAACCUAACAGUGGGCA